UGGAUUGAAAUCAUUUGAUAUUUCUUUUACAAAGAAAAAGAGCUUUAUGCCAUUCUAA
RNAcentral lists this transfer RNA (58 nucleotides) under Ornithodoros moubata. Its description in RNAcentral is "tRNA-Val". The record is from RNAcentral. Lineage: Eukaryota; Metazoa; Arthropoda; Arachnida; Ixodida; Argasidae.